AGUGAACGCUGGCGGUAGGCCUAACACAUGCAAGUCGAACGGCAGCACAGUAAGAGCUUGCUCUUACGGGUGGCGAGUGGCGGACGGGUGAGGAAUACAUCGGAAUCUACUUUUUCGUGGGGGAUAACGUAGGGAAACUUACGCUAAUACCGCAUACGACCUACGGGUGAAAGCAGGGGAUCUUCGGACCUUGCGCGAUUGAAUGAGCCGAUGUCGGAUUAGCUAGUUGGCGGGGUAAAGGCCCACCAAGGCGACGAUCCGUAGCUGGUCUGAGAGGAUGAUCAGCCACACUGGAACUGAGACACGGUCCAGACUCCUACGGGAGGCAGCAGUGGGGAAUAUUGGACAAUGGGGGCAAGCCUGAUCCAGCCAUACCGCGUGAGUGAAGAAGGCCUUCGGGUUGUAAAGCCCUUUUGUUGGGAAAGAAAAGCAGCAGGUUAAUACCCCGCUGUUCUGACGGUACCCAAAGAAUAAGCACCGGCUAACUUCGUG
RNAcentral lists this ribosomal RNA (492 nucleotides) under uncultured bacterium. RNAcentral's name for it is "partial 16S ribosomal RNA". It matches the Rfam family "Bacterial small subunit ribosomal RNA", at positions 29 to 507 of the family's 1533-position model. The record is from RNAcentral.